GGCAAUGUAGCUCAGUGGUAUAGCACUUGCCUAGCAUGUGUGAGGCCCUGGGUUCAAUUCCAGGCACUGACC
RNAcentral lists this transfer RNA (72 nucleotides) under Ictidomys tridecemlineatus (thirteen-lined ground squirrel). RNAcentral describes it as "Spermophilus tridecemlineatus (thirteen-lined ground squirrel) tRNA". It matches the Rfam family "tRNA". Rfam says of the family: Transfer RNA (tRNA) molecules are approximately 80 nucleotides in length. Their secondary structure includes four short double-helical elements and three loops (D, anti-codon, and T loops). Further hydrogen bonds mediate the characteristic L-shaped molecular structure. tRNAs have two regions of fundamental functional importance: the anti-codon, which is responsible for specific mRNA codon recognition, and the 3' end, to which the tRNAs corresponding amino acid is attached (by aminoacyl-tRNA synthetases). tRNAs cope with the degeneracy of the genetic code in two manners: having more than one tRNA (with a specific anti-codon) for a particular amino acid; and 'wobble' base-pairing, i.e. permitting non-standard base-pairing at the 3rd anti-codon position. Lineage: Eukaryota; Metazoa; Chordata; Mammalia; Rodentia; Sciuridae. The record is from Rfam by way of RNAcentral.